Molecule: ribosomal RNA, 406 nt
Filed under: uncultured bacterium
Lineage: Bacteria
Description: partial 16S ribosomal RNA
Rfam family: Bacterial small subunit ribosomal RNA
Source: RNAcentral
AUCGAACGCUGGCGGCAGGCCUAACACAUGCAAGUCGAACGAGCGGCGGACUGGUGAGUAAUUUCUGGGAACCUGCCUGAUGGAGGGGGCUAACUACUGGAAAAGUUAGCUAAUACCGCUUACCAUGAGAUGUGCCCUGAUGGGAUUAGCUACUAGGUGGGGUAAUGGCUCACCUAGGCGACGAUCCCUAGCUGGUCUGAGAGGCUGACCAGCCACACUGGAACUGAGACAAGGUCCAGACUCCUACGGGAGGCAGCAGUGGGGAAUAUUGGACAAUGGGCGCAAGCCUGAUGCAGCCAUGCCGAGUGUAUGAAGAAGGCCUUCGGGUUGUAAAGUACUUUCGGCGGGGAGGCGUUACCCACAGAAAAAGCACCGGCUAACUACGUGCCAGCAGCCGCGGUAAUAC